RNAcentral lists this ribosomal RNA (522 nucleotides) under uncultured Glomeraceae. Its description in RNAcentral is "SSU rRNA". It matches the Rfam family "Eukaryotic small subunit ribosomal RNA", at positions 569 to 1092 of the family's 1831-position model. The record is from RNAcentral. Lineage: Eukaryota; Fungi; Glomeromycota; Glomeromycetes; Glomerales; Glomeraceae.
AGCAGCCGCGGUAAUUCCAGCUCCAAUAGCGUAUAUUAAAGUUGUUGCAGUUAAAAAGCUCGUAGUUGAAUUUCGGGAUCAAUAUAUCGGUCGUGCCAUUGGUACGUACUGGUAUCAUUGGUUUCUCCUUUCUGACGAACCAUGAUGUCAUUAAUUUGGUGUUAUGGGAAGUUAGGACUGUUACUUUGAAAAAAUUAGAGUGUUUAAAGCAGGCUUUAGCUUGAAUACAUUAGCAUGGAAUAAUGAAAUAGGACGUUCGAACCUAUUUUGUUGGUUUCUAGGAUCAACGUAAUGAUUAAUAGGGAUAGUUGGGGGCAUUAGUAUUCAAUUGUCAGAGGUGAAAUUCUUGGAUUUAUUGAAGACUAACUACUGCGAAAGCAUUUGCCAAGGAUGUUUUCAUUAAUCAAGAACGAAAGUUAGGGGAUCGAAGACGAUCAGAUACCGUCGUAGUCUUAACCAUAAACUAUGCCGACUAGGGAUCGGAUGAUGUUAAUUUUUUAAUGACUCAUUCGGCGCCUUACG